Long non-coding RNA from Equus quagga, 1452 nucleotides. RefSeq lists it as uncharacterized. The transcript is spliced from 3 exons. The record is from RefSeq and is a predicted model, not a curated record. Lineage: Eukaryota; Metazoa; Chordata; Mammalia; Perissodactyla; Equidae.
CGAGUUGUCAGGGAAAUUCACUUAAUUACGCUGCUGAGUGUCCGUUCAGCCUGCUCCAGUGGGAGGAUCCGAAGCAGACUCAGGCCACAAGCGUGAAAAGAACUGAUGCUGUUACGAAGUGCCCCCCAGGCUGGAACGUGAGCAGCGUCCUAACAGGUAUGCAGCUUGGCUUUCUGGAGAUUCUUGGAACAUAUAAAUCGCUGCAAUAAACAGCCCGGGCAGGCGGGCAUCUUACUGCCCGCCGUGGGUGGCGCGACAGCCUCUCCAGCGCUGGGGACUGCCCCGAGUCCGCAGGCGAGCCGGACUCCGGGGUGUGGCCGACUUUCCCUCUACUGUCAAGUGGGAUGGGGGCGGGGCCGCACGCGCUAUUUACACCAUUCCAAAAUCUGGAACCUGGGCACGCAGUUCUGGGUGAAAGCAAGUCUAAGCAAACGGUCGGGAAUCCCUCAAAACUGAUGGCUCAAAAAAAAUACUGAUGACUCAAAGCACUAUGUAUGGCUUGUUUCUUUUAUCUUUCUGGACUUUGAGAAAUUCCUUUAAUGAAAGAAAUCUAUUACUCUAAAAUAAGAACGCUCAAAACUAUAUAGGAAACAAAAGUGUCAGUGUUGCAUUCAAAUGACUACCCUUCACAUCAAAAACUAUUUUUGGAUGAAACACAGCAUAUUAUGCAAUUCUACAGUGUAAUUUUCUUUUUUAACGAGCAAUCUUCAAAAAGAGCUAGAGUUCGUCCUAGCUAUUUCAUCGACAAAGAAGCGAACACGAAGCUAUCUGGCGACCCCUGAUCACCCCAUUCCCAACCCAGUACCCCUGCAGUGUAAACGAUCGUUUACUUAAUCGUGCUCUCCCAAGACCCGCCGCACAGUGCCGCGUCCACCCAGCCCGUCCAGUGUCGAAGAGCUGCUGCAACCGCGAAGCCGAGCGACAAGUGCCCGUGAGGGGUUCCACGGCUAUCCGGUGCCCAGCUGGGCACCUCCGCACACACGACUUGAUUAGCGCUAAAGACCAACCGACUGAACACCUAUUUAGGGCCGGCCACAGUGCUUGGGGACACACCGGGAUGGGAAGCAGAGCCUACUUUGGAAGAGCUCCCAGUCAGUCGGGUGGAGGAGCAGUUCUGGAGGCUGGCAAGUCCAAGAUCAAGGUGCUGGGCAGUUUCAGCGUCUGGUGAGAACCUCCCUCCUGGUUCAUAGAUGGCUGUCUUUUUGCCACAUGGCAGAAGGGGCGAAGGAGCUCUCUGGGGUCUCUUUUAAAGGGCACUAAUCCCAUUCAUCAGGGCUCUGCCCUUAUGACCUCAUCACCUUCCAAAGAUCCCACUUUCAAAUAUCAUUACACUGGGGCCGGCCCCAUGGCCUAGUGGUUAGGUUCGCAUGCUGUGCUUCGGCGGCCCGGGGUUUCACUGGUCCAGAUCCUGGAUGCAGACGUGGCACCACUCGUCAGGCCAUGCUGAGGCAG